CCUGAUGAGYUGYUGCYGGUUCUCUAGGGAGCAYGUGCACACUUGUCAUCUUUAUAUCUCCACCUGUGCACCUUUUGUAGACCUGGAUAUCUCUCUGAAUGCUAGCCACUCAGGUUUGAGGAUUGACUUUAUGUCUCUCCUUGCAUUUCCAGGCCUAUGUUUCUUUAUAUACCCAAUGUAUGUCAUAGAAUGUAAUCAAUGGGCCUUUGUGCCUAUAAACCUAUACAACUUUCAGCAACGGAUCUCUUGGCUCUCGCAUCGAUGAAGAACGCAGCGAAAUGCGAUAAGUAAUGUGAAUUGCAGAAUUCAGUGAAUCAUCGAAUCUUUGAACGCACCUUGCGCUCCUUGGUAUUCCGAGGAGCAUGCCUGUUUGAGUGUCAUUAAUAUAUCAACCUCUUCAACUUUUGUUUGUCGGGUGUUGGAUUUGGGGGUCUUUUUUGCUGGCCCUAAGGUCAGCUCCCCUGAAAUGCAUUAGCAGAACAAUUUGUGAACCGUUCAUUGGUGUGAUAACUAUCUACGCUGUUGACGUGAAACAAGUUCAGCUUCUAACAGUCCAUUGACUUGGACAACUUUUCAUUAAUGUGACCUCAAAUCAGGUAGGACUACCCGCUGAACUUAAGCAUAUCAAUAAGCGGAGGAAAAGAAACUAACAAGGAUUCCCCUAGUAACUGCGAGUGAAGCGGGAAAAGCUCAAAUUUAAAAUCUGUCAGUCUUUGGCUGUCCGAGUUGUAAUCUAGAGAAG
This 742-nucleotide ribosomal RNA is filed under the name Phlegmacium pansa. RNAcentral describes it as "eukaryotic LSU rRNA". The stretch from base 227 to 380 matches the Rfam family "5.8S ribosomal RNA". The record is from RNAcentral. Lineage: Eukaryota; Fungi; Basidiomycota; Agaricomycetes; Agaricales; Cortinariaceae.